GAAAUUACCUUGGAAGCUCCACGUUGGUGGUGCAAGGCGUCGAUGAUCCAAUGACGUUGGAAACGAUUGCAUGUAGGGAGGCACUUUGCUUAGUCGUGGUUUACUCCUACAACAGUUCGCUGUAGCGUCAGACGCAAAACAGGUCAUUCGGGACAUUAAUCAGGGUCUCAAGGCAUCCGUAGUGCAAUUAUCAGCGAGAUCAAUGCUCACGCAAACGCUUUUUCUUGCAGUUUUUUUCAAGGUCGUGAUAGUAAUGUAAAAGCUUAUUCUUUAACUAGAUUUGCUCUUAAUUUUGCUCGAGAGCGUCAUGUGUGGUUUGGCCAACCAAAUAAUGUAAACAUCAUCCCACUCUC
This 353-nucleotide long non-coding RNA is filed under the name Hordeum vulgare. RNAcentral describes it as "long non-coding RNA (HVUL_LNC018602)". Lineage: Eukaryota; Viridiplantae; Streptophyta; Magnoliopsida; Poales; Poaceae. The record is from RNAcentral.